Molecule: ribosomal RNA, 506 nt
Filed under: uncultured bacterium
Lineage: Bacteria
Description: partial 16S ribosomal RNA
Rfam family: Bacterial small subunit ribosomal RNA
Source: RNAcentral
AGUGAACGCUGGCGGUAGGCCUAACACAUGCAAGUCGAACGGCAGCACAGGAGAGCUUGCUCUCUGGGUGGCGAGUGGCGGACGGGUGAGGAAUACAUCGGAAUCUACUCUGUCGUGGGGGAUAACGUAGGGAAACUUACGCUAAUACCGCAUACGACCUACGGGGGAAAGCAGGGGAUCUUCGGACCUUGCGCGAUUGAAUGAGCCGAGGUCAGAUUAGCUAGUUGGCGGGGUAAAGGCCCACCAAGGCGACGAUCCGUAGCUGGUCUGAGAGGAUGAUCAGCCACACUGGAACUGAGACACGGUCCAGACUCCUACGGGAGGCAGCAGUGGGGAAUAUUGGACAAUGGGCGCAAGCCUGAUCCAGCCAUACCGCGUGGGUGAAGAAGGCCUUCGGGUUGUAAAGCCCUUUUGUUGGGAAAGAAAUCCAGCUGGCUAAUACCCGGCUGGGAUGACGGUACCCAAAGAAUAAGCACCGGCUAACUUCGUGCCAGCCGCCGCAGUAA